UGCCUGACCGUUAGGGUGUUUAGGUUUUUGAGAGGGGUUGGAGUCCAUGGCAUGUUUUAUGGUAAAUGAAGGGACGAAGCGAGCUCCAGGUAGAAUUGCGGAUUGAUUUUAGGUCUUUCUUCUGCCGGGGAUAACUACGGGAAAAAUGUAGCUGAAGGGGAGGACAGAAAUAAGGAGGUAGGACUAUCAGUUAGUUUGGUAGUGUAGAGGGACUACCAAAGACGAUGACGGGGUAGCGGGGAAUCAGGGUUUGAUACCGGAGAGGGAGCGUGAGAGAUAGCUCCCACGUCCAUGGACGGCAGCGGGGCGCGAAGAUUGCCCACUCUUUGCAGGAGGCAGUUAUGAGACGUGAAGAUGAAUAUUCAGUAAAGAUGAAUAGGAGAAUUGGAGGGCAAGUUUGGUGCCAGCCGCCGCGGUAAUACCGACUCCAAGAGUGUGUAUGAGAGAUGCUGCAGUUAAAAAGUCCGUAGUCAUAGAAAGGUAAACAGGGAUGUGAAGUCUCUAGUGUUAGCGAUUGAAAAGCCGAUGGGGAACAUAGUAUACCAGGGCGAGAGGUGAAAUGCCAAGACCCCUGGUGGACUGAGCGAGGCGAAAGCGAUGUUCUUGUAGGUGUUUGAUGAUCAAGGACGAAGGCUGGAGGUCGAAAGUGAUUAGAUAUCGCAGUAGUUCCAGCUGUAAAAGAUGCCGACAUGUCACCAGGUUGCUUCUGCCUGACACUCCUCCGGCCUCACCUUGCCCCAUCUUACUUCCCCCCGACCCCAACCUU
This 766-nucleotide ribosomal RNA is filed under the name Microsporidium sp. EVL170. RNAcentral describes it as "SSU rRNA". It matches the Rfam family "Microsporidia small subunit ribosomal RNA", at positions 57 to 717 of the family's 1311-position model. The record is from RNAcentral. Lineage: Eukaryota; Fungi; Microsporidia.